GACGAACGCUGGCGGCGUGCCUAAUACAUGCAAGUAGAACGCUGAAGAGAGGAGCUUGCUCUUCUUGGAUGAGUUGCGAACGGGUGAGUAACGCGUAGGUAACCUGCCUGGUAGCGGGGGAUAACUAUUGGAAACGAUAGCUAAUACCGCAUAACAACAGUUGUUGCAUGACAGCUGUUUAAAAGAUGCAAUUGCAUCACUACCAGAUGGACCUGCGUUGUAUUAGCUAGUUGGUGAGGUAACGGCUCACCAAGGCGACGAUACAUAGCCGACCUGAGAGGGUGAUCGGCCACACUGGGACUGAGACACGGCCCAGACUCCUACGGGAGGCAGCAGUAGGGAAUCUUCGGCAAUGGGGGGAACCCUGACCGAGCAACGCCGCGUGAGUGAAGAAGGUUUUCGGAUCGUAAAGCUCUGUUGUAAGAGAAGAACGGGUGUGAGAGUGGAAAGUUCAUACUGUGACGGUAGCUUACCAGAAAGGGACGGCUAACUACGUG
This 497-nucleotide ribosomal RNA is filed under the name uncultured bacterium. RNAcentral describes it as "partial 16S ribosomal RNA". It matches the Rfam family "Bacterial small subunit ribosomal RNA", at positions 28 to 507 of the family's 1533-position model. The record is from RNAcentral.